This is a non-coding RNA of Heterocephalus glaber (naked mole-rat), 431 nucleotides long. The record is from RefSeq and is a predicted model, not a curated record. Lineage: Eukaryota; Metazoa; Chordata; Mammalia; Rodentia; Bathyergidae.
CGCCCAGCUGUGUGCCACCGCUGUGCAGGAGCGAGUAGGAGAGGAAACGAAAAGAGGGAAGGGCCCCUUUCAAGCCACCCCAGCCCUUUCUCACUGCUAAGGAAACUGAGGCCAGGCGUGAGAGGAAACUGCUGCACAGGAAAUUCAGACUCCCAGAGUGCUAGGAUUACAGGCAUGUGCUUCUACACCUGGCUUCAGACUGCAACUUCUGACAGAACUAUUCUGAAACUUCAAAGCCUACCUGAGGAGCCUCCAGAGGCAAAGAGCUGCCUCCUUGUGGAGUCUCCAACCACACAGCUUCUUAAGACUAGAUCCAGACCCACUGGGAGAAAAACUGAGGAUUUAACAUUUAGCAAUCCAGGCUCACGCACCCGACAUCUCUAGUGAAGAAUCAGGCCUAACUCAGGAGCUCACAGAUCAUCUCUAAAACU